UUUAUAUGAGAGUUUGAUCCUGGCUCAGGAUGAACGCCGGCGGUGUGCCUAAUACAUGCAAGUCGAACGCGUUGGCUCAAUUGAUUGAUGGUGCUUGCACCUGAUUGAUUUUGGUCGCCAACGAGUGGCGGACGGGUGAGUAACACGUAGGUAACCUGCCCAGAAGCGGGGGACAACAUUUGGAAACAGAUGCUAAUACCGCAU
Molecule: ribosomal RNA, 204 nt
Filed under: Limosilactobacillus fermentum
Lineage: Bacteria; Bacillati; Bacillota; Bacilli; Lactobacillales; Lactobacillaceae
Description: Lactobacillus fermentum partial 16S ribosomal RNA
Rfam family: Bacterial small subunit ribosomal RNA
Source: RNAcentral